GACGAACGCUGGCGGCGUGCUUAACACAUGCAAGUCGAGCGGUAAGGCCCUUUCGGGGGUACGACGAGCGGCGAACGGGUGAGUAACACGUGGGUGACCUGCCCUCAGCUCUGGGAUAAGCCUGGGAAACUGGGUCUAAUACCGGAUAUGACUCCAUGACGCAUGUUGUGGGGUGGAAAGCCUUGUGCGGCUGAGGAUGGGCCCGCGGCCUAUCAGCUUGUUGGUGGGGUGAUGGCCUACCAAGGCGACGACGGGUAGCCGGCCUGAGAGGGCGACCGGCCACACUGGGACUGAGACACGGCCCAGACUCCUACGGGAGGCAGCAGUGGGGAAUCUUGCGCAAUGGGCGAAAGCCUGACGCAGCGACGCCGCGUGAGGGAUGACGGCCUGGUGUAACGUACUUCUA
Molecule: ribosomal RNA, 406 nt
Filed under: uncultured bacterium
Lineage: Bacteria
Description: bacterial SSU rRNA
Rfam family: Bacterial small subunit ribosomal RNA
Source: RNAcentral